Molecule: ribosomal RNA, 1285 nt
Filed under: Gammarus nekkensis
Lineage: Eukaryota; Metazoa; Arthropoda; Malacostraca; Amphipoda; Gammaridae
Description: SSU rRNA
Rfam family: Eukaryotic small subunit ribosomal RNA
Source: RNAcentral
CAUUGCUCUGACGGAUGCUUUUAUUAGACCAAGCCGCUGAGGACUUGAGAGUUCGAUCUCUUGUCUGACUCGUGUAAUGGUGACUCUGGAUAACCAAAUUUCUGACAAGCGCACGUACUUCUCUUCUGAGCGAGACGGCGCUGCCACUUUCGAGUGUCUGCCUUAUCAGCUAUCAACCGUUCGUUAUGCGCGACCGAUGGCUUUGACGGGUAACGGGGAAUCAGGGUUCGAUUCCGGAGAGGCAGCCUGAGAGACGGCUACCACGUCCAAGGACGGCAGCAGGCACGCAAAUUACCCAAUCCCAGCAAAUGGGGGAGGUAGUGACGAAAUCUAACGAUGCGGGCGCCCUUUCUGGGGCCCCGCAAUCGGAAUGGGCACUUUCUAAACAACCUGUUGAGAACCUACUGAAGGGCAAGUCUGGUGCCAGCAGCCGCGGUAAUUCCAGCUUCAGCAGCAUCUAUUAAAGUUGCUGCGGUUAAAAGGCUCGCAGUUGAAUGUCUGUAUCGAGCGCAGGUCAGGUGGACGUUGGGGCGUGGAAGUACGGGCAGUUGGAUGUCCGGAGGGCCUUCGUGCUCAACGGCUCCUUCGGCUUUUCCACACACCCCCGUCCGUGACAAGCCUCCUCGCUCGGGUACAUAACGGGAAUCGGUCAAACGGAGUGUGGUCGAGGGUUGAGGUGCGUGGCUUCGGUUGCGUGCUUCUUCUUUCGGCUGCGUUAAGCUCCAUCGGUUUCACGGUCACCUUGAGUAAAUCAGAGUGCUCAAAGCAGUCGUAGGGGCCUUGCGCCCUGUGAACAGUCUUGACGGACUGACUUGGUUUUGCAUGGCAUGUCGGAAGACGACGUCGUGUGCUGGCUCAGAGGAUAAAUCAGUGGUACAAGCCAGCCUCGACGUAAUGAUUAAAAGGGACGGUCGAGGGCAUUGGUAUUGCGAGGCGAGAGGUGAAAUUCUGUGACCCCCGCAAGACCUCCUGAAGCGAAAGCGUCUGCCAAGGACGUUUUCAUUAAUCAUGAACGAAAGUUAGAGGAUCGAAGGCGAUCAGAUACCGCCCUAGUUCUAACCCUAAACGAUGCCAACCAUCAAUCCGCGCGUAGCACCCUUCUUAACGGGCUCGGCGGGCAGCUCCCCACUCACGGGAAACCAGAGCCUCUGGGUUCCGGGGGGAGUCUGGUUGCAAAGCUGAAACUUAAAGGAAUUGACGGAAAGGCACCACCAGGCGUGGAGCCUGCGGCUUAAUUUGACUCAACACGGGCCAUCUCACCAGGCCAGCACUCUUGUACGAUUGA